GCCAGGCGCGGUGGCUCACGCCUGUAAUCCCAGCACUUUAGGAGGCUGAGGUGGGAGGAUCACCUGAGGUCGGGAGUUCAAGACCAGCCUGACCAACAUGGAGAAACCCCAUCUCUA
Unclassified non-coding RNA from Pongo abelii (Sumatran orangutan), 117 nucleotides. It matches the Rfam family "Metazoan signal recognition particle RNA". From Rfam's summary of the family: The signal recognition particle (SRP) is a universally conserved ribonucleoprotein. It is involved in the co-translational targeting of proteins to membranes. The record is from Ensembl. NCBI's taxonomy places the organism in Eukaryota, Metazoa, Chordata, Mammalia, Primates, Hominidae.